This 736-nucleotide long non-coding RNA is filed under the name Homo sapiens (human). RNAcentral's name for it is "non-protein coding LINC00461:53". The record is from RNAcentral. Lineage: Eukaryota; Metazoa; Chordata; Mammalia; Primates; Hominidae.
ACAGUCUCCAGGCUGCAGCAUCUGGUGAGGAAGGGAAGGUGUAUGGCUGCAUUGUUUUUCUCUUGGUGUUCAACUGGAAUAGAGCAGGAAAUUGCUUUGGAGAUGAGGAAACAAACUCUUAUGGAGACCUAAGAGACUGAAGACAUCUGGCGUGGACUACUCUGAUGGUAAAAUUGAAAGUACACCUAAAUUUGCUUUGUUACAGGAUUCUCUUCAGAGGACAAGAGAAGAUGUUACAUUCUCUGCAUGAGGACAAUUCUGCAGCAUCAAAAUCGAAUAAUAUUUGUUUUCUGGCAGCAGAAUUUUGUAUCAUAUUUCUAAAGACAGUAAGCACUUGGGUGGACGUCAAUGAAUACUAAACACUAAUUGAUCUGAUACAGCCGUAUGCACAUACACAGAUAUACAUGGUGGCUUGUAAUGGUUGAAAAAUUACGGUUUGGUUUUAUUAAAAGAUCUGUCACUUUUAGGUCAGAGUGGGAUUUUGGAGGGAUAGUCUCCCACAAUAGAAAACUACCCUGACAACAGUGGUGUUUUGAGGUUGUUUGUUGUUUGGCUUCUUGAUGAUGCUUAGCUAAGGAGACACUUCCUUUCAGAUUCUGUCUUCCAAACCCCAGGGCUCUGUUCUGGGCAGUUCAGCCUAAUGGAAUUAAGCCUGACAUGUUUCAACUCUAUUUCUUGAUAAAAUAAACAUAAAACAAUGGUUUAGAUUUCGAAUAAAACUCUUGAAGCAUGGGGU